Molecule: transfer RNA, 63 nt
Filed under: Zaranga tukuringra
Lineage: Eukaryota; Metazoa; Arthropoda; Insecta; Lepidoptera; Notodontidae
Description: tRNA-Arg
Source: RNAcentral
AAAUAAGAAGCAAUAAUGCAUUUAAUUUCGACUUAAAAGACAGAGUUAAUUACUCCUUAUUUA